This is a long non-coding RNA of Triticum aestivum (bread wheat), 5299 nucleotides long. RefSeq lists it as uncharacterized. The transcript is spliced from 6 exons. NCBI's taxonomy places the organism in Eukaryota, Viridiplantae, Streptophyta, Magnoliopsida, Poales, Poaceae. The record is from RefSeq and is a predicted model, not a curated record.
GACAGCCCUGCUCCUUGUUCCCAUUCCUCCCUCGCGGGAACCCUAGCCGCCGCCCUCUCCCACUCGUCCUCCUCCCCCGCUCCCCUUCCUGGCGGCGCCCCCGACAGCUGCGAGACGUCUUCUCCUCCCCAUCGUCGAACUCAGGCCACCGCUCCGUCACGUUUCCUCACGCAGAUGCAGGUGGACGCGGACUUCGUCCACCACGGCCGCAGGUCAGCCGACGGCCAUGGCCAUGGCGCUGCCCGAUCCGCCGGCCGCAGCAGCGCUCCCGGAAGACCAAGCCCGCCUCCUCCCUUUGUGUGGUUUCUGUCGAGCUCCGCAAGAUCCACAAUCGCACGCCGUAAGAGGUGGAUGAGGGGUUCAACUGCUUCCUUUGUCGGGUGAUGACUGCCUGGCCGUCCGGUGGGUGGGCUUUGAUGCCGGUCUUCCUCCCUCCUCAGCUCCGACGCCACCAUGGAUCUCUUCAAGGCCACCGAAACAGAUCCAACUACUGUUGCUCUUUCCCAUCCUCCUCAUCUCAUCUGUCUUCUUGGCCUGGAACAACGAAAGCGGCAGAGAACAGCUGAUGGUGGCGCUGCUAGAGUCCCUAGAGGCGACCUCUGAUCUGCUUUUAGUUGCCUGGUUGGUUCAAUGGCGAGACUGGGAGGGUUGAUAGACGUCAUUUUGGCUUCCUGGUUAGUUCAAUUCCAUUCACUCUUCCCAAAUUGAUAACUCUACAUAUGCCCGGGGAUUCUCAAGGGCGAGUCACACUACAGUCCUAUCUUUUACUCUCGCUAUCUCUGUAAGCUUCAUUACUUGGAGUGAAUUCACGGCAACUUUUUUGAUUUUUGCAGAGAUCUGUAAAUGAAAAAUUGAAACACAUAUGCAAUAACAGUAGCCUUCUUCAGGGUAUAGAUCUGCAGUAUUUAUACCAUGCGUGGCGAUGAUGCUGACGCUGUGGCCCGACCCGACCGGGCCUUUGGCUUUCACACAAAGAAUCGGAUCCGAGGGUGUGCAUGGGAUGGACUCCACGAUGGUUCUCACGGUCUCACGAGCCAGAACUUGCGGGCAUCACCUCUUUGCAUUUCUAUUUGUUUUUUUUUUUUACUUUUUGCCAUCACUGGAUUCGUCACGGGCACAGAGAAGGGGUGAACAUAGUACUUCUCUCCACAGCCAACUCAUAGGCCAGGAAACAUUGCCUACAGUGUAUAUUGUAUCGGAUAGUCAGAUUUAAAAAUAACGUUUUGCCAUGGUCGUACAAUCAGGUACAUGGAGUACAUUAGUUGCUUAGGUUUCGUAAUACACGGUUCCCAUGAUGUAUGCCAACAGAGCUCCCGAUUGACUGACGAUGUUCAAAUAUAUAAGAGUACUCUCAUAUGAUGGUUACCUGCAACUCUAACUAUGAAAACUAGAAGUGAGUUGUUUCCAUCGUUUUCCUAUAAAAUUAUUAAUGUGAUUGCUUUCCUCUCUAUUUUUUUUGUGGAAGACAUAUAGGGUUGUGCCAUAAUUAUAUUAUAGGCAUGAACAAAAUAAGUGUUUCUCGAAGACAUGAACAAAAUAAGUUAUAUUUGCUCCAAACUUGCAAAUUUGUUAUUGGAGUUUUAUAUUCGUUCCAGUUGACACUAAAACAUACUUGCAUUAGUUAUGCCAUUUUUAUGAGGUUGUAUGCAGCAAACAACAUGUUGCAGUCAUUUUUCUAUAUCCAGUCUGCAUAGAAACACACGAUAUGCACUCUCUUUACAAGCGGGCAAUGCAGGAUCUCACUGUUAGUAUAAGAAGCCAAUUCACUAUUCUAACUUUGUUUUUUUACUGCAGUUACAUACUUUGUUCAUAAGAUUGCUGUUAUAUUCUGAGCACAAUCUUUGAUGUUUUUUGUUUCCCUUGUGCUUAGGCUCACAAUCUGGGCACACAUAUUUUCAUCUAGUAUAUUUUUUCAUUGUUAACUAUUGCAUGUGAUUUUUCGUAGGGCUAAGGUGACAAAAAAUUCUUUGGUGGAAGCUGGAAUAUUCUCUUGAGUCGUGUAAGUUCAGUAGGUAUCUUUCCAACUCACUGACUAAAUAAAAUGAUGUCCACAAGUUGUUUUUCUAUUUCUUGGAGUUGCUUCCCUUGAUUUGAGAAAUAGUUAUCUGUCCGCUCGGGAUCGGGAAGGGAUAGUGUGUCGAUGGCUUAGCUCCCUUUCUCUAUAGUCCUUGGAGCCCAGAUAUGGAGGAGUUUAGAGGAUAUGUAAUCAAGCCUUGCUGCCCCUUUGCCUUUUGUUUUGUUUGAUUUGAGAAUAGAAUCAUCGGUGAUAUGUAUUUUAGAUUUAGCCCAUUGCAAAGAGUAUGGGAUGCGUGAGGCAUGAAGUUUCAAAGCUUUUUAGGGCUAUCCUCUUCUCCUAUUGUAAAUUAUCUGACUUUCUUGUCCUAUCUUAACUUUAUUUGAAUUAUGCUUUGUAAGAAAUUAUAUGAAAUGUGAAACUUAUUUGGUGUGUUCAUGAUUCCUGUUAUGAAUAUUUAUUUUUCAAAAAUUCUCCACUUUUAUAUGCCGGCAGAUAAUCUAUUCUGCAUGCCCAUUUCAAUCUCUGUUUUAACUACUCUUAUGUACACAUAUAAAUUGUGAAAAACUGGGAGAAGUUUGAUUAUUCUAGGUUGAGUCAUGGUUUUUGAGUCGCGACUCAUGCGAGUCGCUUUGGGGCAGCGACUCGGAAGAAGUCGAGCCUGCGUUGUGACUAGUCGCGACUCUGAGUCGCGAGUCGACACUAAGCUGAGUCGACCAUAUUUUUGCGACUCAUAGACUAGUCGUCGACUAGUCGCGACUAGUCGAGCGACUCGAAAUCCAUGGGUUGAGUACAUGGUCUAAUCAUAUGCACAGGCUUGACUUUCUGUCAUGAAUCUGAGAGGGUACUGAUGGUGUGCACCGGAGGCAACUAAAGGUAAAUCAGUACUUCCAAUUCUAUGUACACAUGCAAAAGGAUUGUGUUUGUUAUGAAAAGAAGACCUGAGUUUCAUUGUAUGAUGACAAGAUGAUUAAGAAGUCUUUUGUUUUGUUGCAUUUUUAUUAUACUCUUUUGAGCAUCCUUCUAUGUUUUAUUUUCAUUUUUUCAAGCCCCAAUUCAGUAUCUUUGUUAUCCAUGUGCUUACUGCCUUUUGUGUGUUUGUAUUUUGUCUCACAGACAAUGAUGCAGAACUGAACACUACAAGUAUUGGGCCACUCUCACUGCCUAUGAUAAAUUGAUUAAUUCCACAACGCUGGUGGAGGCCUCCUCGAGCUUUGUAAUAAAGGAAGGAUGCUAUCAAGGUCAUCCCAAAGGCCAUUCUCAAUGUUGUUCUUGCUCAGAUGGGUUUGCUCGAUGCAAAGUAAAUGACUUGCAUGUGCCAUCGUGUUUAAGGGUGCUACUGUCUACUUGUGGCAUUCAUUGGAACUGAUAAAAAAUUAUGGCGGAGACCAGCUACUGAUGUUAAUGAGGCCAUGCAAAGUGCUGCUACUGAGUGUCUGAGAUGUCUUGUGGGCAUGAUGAGAGAUUGAGUUUGAUAUCCCCAAGUGAAAAAGAUGAAGGAUGAGAUGGGACCCCUCCCAUGCAAUAUCGAUGGCAUGAUGAGAGAUUGAGUUAUUGCCAUGCUUUCUGAGUUGGUGCAAAUAUGCAUCUGUUCUGCCCCUAUUGUAGAUUAUGUGUGUUCUGGAUGGGUCAUAUCAGGCAGUCAAUGUCUAUAUAAAAAUGCCACCCCUUGCCUAUUGUAGUCUAAAUAUAUGUGUAUCCUACAUCGGUGCUACCAGACAGACUGGAUGUUAUUCUGUAUCAUGCACACACCCCACUGUUAUUAUUGGUAAAAACAUAUGUACCACAUUUAUCUCUUUUCUUGCAAACUAUGCUUAAUACCAAUGUACAACGGUCCUUUCCUUCAUAAUGUACUCCUGGUCUAUUUUAUCAUUCAACAAUUAAGACUAUAGAAGGUAUCAUGCCUUGCUUUGAGUUAUUUUCAUUCUGCUUUAAAUAUUUAGUAGAUUGUUGCUUAUUUUCACUUUCAAUUAUAUUGUUACCGGGUUACUAAUGGUAACAUGCCCAAUUAACCUAAUAGAUUAUUUUACCCUUUUCAAUGAAUGUAGCUCUAUGCCAUCUGUGUUACCAUCAAGAGAAGGUAUAUGCUCGAAGAAGCUAUCAAACUGAUCGACGGUACAAUUCAUGCAUUCGAACUUGCUGGUGCUGAUGAUGCCAUAGUAAUGGCAUCAGUGAAAAUCGAUCUCUGCCCCCACAACAAAAGCAUAUUACCGACUCAACAUGAAUAUUAUGGAGAAUCAACUCAGCUUGCCAGCGGUGCUAUUGAGUCAACAUGUUCUGCUGCUUUAGCCUAUCUACUGACCAUGGGCAUAAUUACAAGAGAUGAUCCCAACUUGGUGGAGCUCAAGAAAUGACAAAGACAACUCAAAGCUAAGUAGGUCAUCAGUGUUAUAUGGUCGUGCGCAAUCCUUUCAGAAUCAGCUCGCCUCUUUGACCAUGAGAACACUCCAGCAACUAAAAGUGUCAACAAAUUAGAGGUAAUCACAGUAUUGGUCAGCUUUUCACUUGCAUUACUUGCAUACAAAUGAACAUUAACCUCUAGGAUGGCCUUACCGAAACUGCGGGCUCACAGCCACCAAACGAGUAACAUACCCUCCCUCCCACUCUUCAGACUUUUACAACUAUAUACAUUACUCAUGUUUGUUGCUUUCCCAGUGAAACAGACCACAGGUCCAAAACAAAGUCCCAGCCUACUACCCGCAGGACUUUAGUCUUUAAAGACUAAAUGCACGGAUCGCAUCUAUCGACUAUCACUGUGAAUCUCAAAAGACACGCUUCAUUCUUAUGCCUCUUAUAAGCCCGUUGCCAUAUGCACACGCUUCAUUCUUAUGCCUCUUAUAAGCCCGUUGCCAUAUGCACUUCGCCUUUAUUUGGACUAGGUAACACUAUCUGUCCUGGUAAAAUUAUCUUCUCUAUAGGUACAAGCCUGAAUUUGUGGUCUCUUUUGGUAGACGCGGUAUGUAAUGACGAAUCACGUCGACCUCCGUCUAAAUGCAUGGAACUUGCCACUGAAUUAUCUGAACUGCUGCCCAGGAUUCAAUUCAUACUUUAUUUACCUAUAAUAUGGUAUGUAAUGACAAGGAAGUCGAGGACCUUUUGUAGUUGCGUGAACCAACUGCUACGUACUAAAUAUGUAUAUAGCUUACUUUUGGAUUGAAACCUUUUGUUUUUUGCUGGACCAAUUGCUAUGUAUUGAGUGUGUAUGUAUCGAUGCAAUGUUUCUGAUCUAAACUUGAUAUAUUAGAUUGAUAAACACAACUACAUUAUCCUAUUUUCUAUAUUCGC